This 252-nucleotide ribosomal RNA is filed under the name uncultured bacterium. RNAcentral's name for it is "partial 16S ribosomal RNA". It matches the Rfam family "Bacterial small subunit ribosomal RNA", at positions 524 to 776 of the family's 1533-position model. The record is from RNAcentral.
UACGGAGGAUGCGAGCGUUAUCCGGAUUUAUUGGGUUUAAAGGGUGCGUAGGCGGAUUUUUAAGUCAGCGGUAAAAUGUCCGGGCUCAACCCGGGCCGGCCGUUGAAACUGGGGAUCUUGAGUGGGCGAGAAGUAUGCGGAAUGCGUGGUGUAGCGGUGAAAUGCAUAGAUAUCACGCAGAACUCCGAUUGCGAAGGCAGCAUACCGGCGCCCGACUGACGCUGAGGCACGAAAGCGUGGGGAACGAACAGG